AUUGAACGCUGGCGGCAUGCCUUACACAUGCAAGUCGAACGGUAACAGGUCUUCGGAUGCUGACGAGUGGCGAACGGGUGAGUAAUACAUCGGAACGUGCCUAGUAGUAGGGGAUAACUACUCGAAAGAGUGGCUAAUACCGCAUGAGAUCUACGGAUGAAAGCAGGGGAUCGCAAGACCUUGUGCUACUAGAGCGGCCGAUGGCAGAUUAGGGAGUGGGUGGGAUAAAAGCUUACCAAGCCGACGAUCUGUAGCUGGUCUGAGAGGACGAUCAGCCACACUGGGACUGAGACACGGCCCAGACUCCUACGGGAGGCAGCAGUGGGGAAUUUUGGACAAUGGGCGCAAGCCUGAUCCAGCAAUGCCGCGUGCAGGAUGAAGGCCUUCGGGUUGUAAACUGCUUUUGUACUGAACGAAAAGCCCCGGGUUAAUACCCUGGGGUCAUGACGGUACCGUAGAAUAAGCACCGGCUAACUACGUGCCAGCCGCCGCGGUAA
Molecule: ribosomal RNA, 497 nt
Filed under: uncultured bacterium
Lineage: Bacteria
Description: partial 16S ribosomal RNA
Rfam family: Bacterial small subunit ribosomal RNA
Source: RNAcentral